CAUUGAGCAUCUACUGUGUGCCUGGCACUGUGGUCAAUGCCGUGAUAAUAAGGGACUUGCAGCUCAAGUAUAUCUGUGCUUCACUGGAAGAGCUGAAAGAGCUGGAGACUGUCUGUGAUCAGUGAGCCCCUGUCACUCUCAUGACACUUUCCUGAACCAUUUCACCAGCACUCAGAAAAUGAAGACUGUGCUCUACCUGUUCCUUCUCUGAAGCUAGAAGAUCUGGUGUUUCGACUUUGCCCCAGCCAAUUGACCACAUUGAGUGAUGUGCUUAGUUUACACUGAAUACCAAGAGAUGGGUGGGAUUGCUGUGCAUAUAUAUUAGCAGGAUUUUGGCUGGAGGCCACUUGUGACCUCUAUUGAAUGUAACUUCCUCACUCAGGAGUUGAUAUGGAACCACUCACUCCUAUUGGCUCAGUGCCCAGAAGGCCUCAGAGAGAGCCCACAAGAUCAACCCGACAGACCCCGGCUUUCCAAAUAAAGAAACGCACCCCACCCCACCCCAGGGUAGGGGUCUUUGUGGGUCCUGCCUAC
This 534-nucleotide non-coding RNA is filed under the name Pan troglodytes (chimpanzee). The record is from RNAcentral. Lineage: Eukaryota; Metazoa; Chordata; Mammalia; Primates; Hominidae.